GUGCACCAGGCGCGAAACCUUCGCAAUGCGGGAAACCGCGACGAGGGACUCCCAGUGCCUACGCUCAGCGUAGGCUGUUCCCGAGCCUAGAAGCUCGGGAGUAAGGGCUGGGUAAGACGGGUGCCAGCCGCCGCGGUAAGUACCCGCAGCCCGAGUGGUGGCCACUAUUAUUGGGCCUAAAGCGUCCGUAGCCGGCCCGGUAAAUGCCUGGGUAAAUCGUGAGGCCUAACCUCACGAAUUCCGGGUAGACUGCCGGGCUAGGGA
This 264-nucleotide ribosomal RNA is filed under the name uncultured microorganism. RNAcentral's name for it is "partial 16S ribosomal RNA". It matches the Rfam family "Archaeal small subunit ribosomal RNA", at positions 330 to 598 of the family's 1478-position model. The record is from RNAcentral.